AUCGUCAUGCCUUCAAUAAGGUAAAUUCAAUAAGUAAAUUGUUCAUUUUAAAUUAUCUAUCUUAAUAUACGAUAUUAUAAAAACACUCCAAAAACGAUUAAUAUUCUUGAACAACAAAAUUAAAAACAACCAAUAACUUAAUAUUAGUUCACUAAUAAAAUACUCUAGCGACAAAACAGUGAACCAUUUAUUUCACUAAGACGUAACAUGCAAUAUGUUGAACAUUAAUCUCUAUCUAGAAAAGAUAGUGUCUAAGGAAUAAAUUUGCGAGGACAGGCGAAUGGAGAAGUUCGUAGGAAUUGUCAUGAAGAAUGGAUAGGUGGUCGUUCAUAAAUGGGUAUUCGCCAAAAGUUUUAGUUUUAGUUUUUUGAUUUUACAUUUAUUAGUUUAUGGUACGACAUAUAUUAGUCAAGAUUGAAAUAAAAGAAUUUUGAUAAUUUGAUAUACAUCUUAUUGAAAUCGAUAUUGAAGUUCUUGCAUUAAUUAUUGCAACUGUGAAAAUUGUGAUAAAGAGAAUAAAAUUGCGCUCUAUUGAAUCAGCUUGUUAUUAAAAUAAUCGAUAAAAUAAAAAUAAUAUUAAAAUGGAAGGAAAUUUUUAUAAAUCAAAAUAUCAUGUUUCUGACUUUUUUGGAUUUGAGAGUUCUCAACGAUUAUUGAAUAAAUAUCCUUACCAUCCCACAUAAAAGUAUAAACUAAAUGAUGCAAACAUGAGUUAAAGAUCGAUAAAACAACUACAAUGAGUCUCCAUUCAAUAGAAGUCGUAAACAAGCGCCGCGCGCGCGUACACAAAUUAACAUAACAAUAUUACAAUCUUAAUUAACAAAUUGUCGACAUCGUAAAUCGAUUUUUUCUUUUUUUUACACUGUACUGACUUACUAUCUUUUUUAAAUCUUUCAAAAAAGAUAUAUAAAUAAGAAAUAUACUUAAAAUUUUGUC
Molecule: long non-coding RNA, 936 nt
Organism: Apis laboriosa (Himalayan honeybee)
Lineage: Eukaryota; Metazoa; Arthropoda; Insecta; Hymenoptera; Apidae
Exons: 3
Source: RefSeq, a predicted model, not a curated record